Pimephales promelas (fathead minnow) is the source of this 366-nucleotide non-coding RNA. The record is from RefSeq and is a predicted model, not a curated record. Lineage: Eukaryota; Metazoa; Chordata; Actinopteri; Cypriniformes; Leuciscidae.
CAAACCUGCCUCUCCGGUGCACAGGGCCUUGAAGUUCCUGCACGUCUUUGGACACACGUCUGAGAACAGCUGGCAGCUGUGCUUCGCAGAUAGUUGGUGUAAUACUCCUCAGCCAGGGCCAUGUAAAGCGCCUGUGGUCGCUGAAAAGAAAACUUCCACUCUUUCGCUGCCCAGGUGGACAGUUUCCUCUCAUCACCGAGCAACUGGCCGUUUGCGAAGGACAUUAGGCAUCCAGUGUACUGCCAAACCUCUCCUCUCAGCUCCUUAAGAAGAAAACGUAAGCAUGGAUGAGUCUUAUGCUUAUGCGAACUUCAUCUAAAACUCGCUCCCAUACCCACCAUUUGCUUUUGUGAGCAUCAAUGGGAG